AGACGUUCUCGGGGCGGGGUGCAAUUCCCCACCGGCGGUGUUUGACGGGGCGUAACAGUCCCGCCAUCAGUCCGCGAGCGCCUGGCGGCAUCAGCCGACAGGGUCAGCAGAUCCGGUGAGACCCCGGAACCGACGGUUACAGUCCGGAUGAUAGAGAACGAAC
Molecule: non-coding RNA, 163 nt
Filed under: Novacetimonas hansenii
Lineage: Bacteria; Pseudomonadati; Pseudomonadota; Alphaproteobacteria; Acetobacterales; Acetobacteraceae
Description: Gluconacetobacter hansenii FMN sequence
Rfam family: FMN riboswitch aptamer (RFN element)
About the family: The RFN element is a highly conserved domain that is found frequently in the 5'-untranslated regions of prokaryotic mRNAs that encode for flavin mononucleotide (FMN) biosynthesis and transport proteins. This element is a metabolite-dependent riboswitch that directly binds FMN in the absence of proteins. In Bacillus subtilis, the riboswitch most likely controls gene expression by causing premature transcription termination within the 5' untranslated region of the ribDEAHT operon and precluding access to the ribosome-binding site of ypaA mRNA.
Source: RNAcentral